This is an RNA transcript of Drosophila sulfurigaster albostrigata, 706 nucleotides long. RefSeq lists it as uncharacterized. The transcript is spliced from 4 exons. Lineage: Eukaryota; Metazoa; Arthropoda; Insecta; Diptera; Drosophilidae. The record is from RefSeq and is a predicted model, not a curated record.
AACACUCAGUACACUGUGAUUCUAUAAAAAUAUUCUAUCUCUUUUAUACAAAAUUUUUAUGAAAAUCCACUUUUAAGAGUUGAUUCUAAUAAAUUUGAUAGAUCGAAAUCAUUAUGUGCAAUUGUCAAUCAUUGGUUUGGCUGGAUCAGCUUUGCUGCAGUCUUCGAACUAAAAUUAAGAUAUUCUGUGCUUGGACUAUUUUACAUUCCAUAAUUUUUUUCGGUGGCUUUGGGUAUUCAGCAUUUACAGAAUGCAAAUACGAUGAACCUUGCAAAGCUAAUCUGUAUAAGGGCUUUUGCUUUCUGUUAUCUGUAAUCCAUGUGGCUGCCGGGAUUAUUAUGCUAUUAAGUUUUCUGUCACAAUAUCUCGGAACAGAAUUUAAAGAAUCAAUUUUUGUUUAGUGUCGCUCUGAGUACAUUAUUUCCUCUGGGAGCUCUACAUAAUUAUCCGUUGGUGUAUUUGAUUAUCUGUCAAGUUGUCUUCAUAGUAUUCGCAGUGAGAUAUAGUGCUACAAUGAAACGAAAUCAAAACGCCGUAGACCCUGCAUAAAUUUUUGAAAAUUUGACAAAUUUUUGCUAAAUAAUAAUACAUAAACUUUUUAUAAGUAACUUAUCAAACCUAGUGUAAUUUUCACGAUUGCUUCAUAAAUGGAAAUUCCACUUGGUCUGAUUAUUUUGCAUUUGCAAUUAAAUUGUAUUAGACAGUA